AUCUCCACCAAAUUUGGGGUCAUUUUAACAGACAUUUUCUCUCCAAAAUUAUUCCAAGUUUCUAGACAGAGAGGAUGCCUGUGAAGGAAGUACCAUUUUGGUGAAUCCAUUUUGUAUGAAAUUUUUACAGCAUCUUCAUAUGUACAAAUAAUCAAGACUUGCCAAAUUUGAGCUCAAGUUGAUACUCCAUGUGAGUGCAUCAUCUUGAUCAAGUUUCUGCACCAUAAUGUGAGUUGCACAGCAACUAUAUUAGUUUGUGGUCCAUUGUACUCCAAAACCUCCAGGGUUAUAGUCCUUCUUAAGCUAAAUCUCCCAGACAUCACAUUUGACCCUUAUCAUCUCUCUGUUGAUCACACUAGCAUGAUCAAGUUUGAUGCAGCAAACUUCUCUGGAUGAAUCCCAUCUAACCACAGUACCCCAGAUCAAGCCAUAGCCUCAUUAGUGAUCUAUAUUGGAAGGACUAUUAGCUAGACAACAUUUUGGGUGCCAGAGAGCAUUGAAUGCCCCGGUUUACAUGGUGACUGCGAUGAUGGGAAGCCUGUGCACGCGCUCUGCUCGUUGUGGCGCGUCCAGGACGUUGUUUCUGCUUCGGCCACUCUUCCUCUCGUCGUCUUCGCGUGCAUGAGCAUGUCUGGCAUCUUCCCCUCGACGUCUACUUCUCUCUGGACUCUUCUCCCCCUCCGAAAACCUACUCGUCGGGGCUCGCCGCCGCGCGCGCACGGGCGAAUAGUGGCCGACAUGGCAUUGAAUGUGCUCGUCUCUUCUUCCCCAUGCCCCCUUGGCUCCCUCUGCUCCCGUGAGCUCCUCCCUGUUCCUCCUCCGUCGCCUACCUCCGAGCUCGCGCGCGGGCACACACGUCCGCGGCUCCGGCCACGCGUCUACGGCGACUUCCAGCUCGGCCUCCUCCUCCCCGCCUAUUUAAGCAGCUCCGGACCGCGUCCUUCCUCACCACUCGCCUCUUGCAUCCUCCAGAGCCCCGCCCAACCCCUCCUUUGAGCUCGAGGAGCUUCACUGCCCCUUCCAUGGCCGAAACCUCGUUGUUGGCCUCCGCUCAAAUCCGAGCGAGCCCGAGCUUCUCUCUCUGUUCCACCACCACCAGUAGACCCCCUAGUUCGCGCAGAGCCUCCCUACAUCUUUGGCUUCUCCUCUGGUGGACCGGGGCACCAAGAUCACCGGCGACCAAAGCCCUCCUCCACCGUGGUCGCGUUCGUCCCUGUUUCAGAGCUCCCCGGCGGAGAAGACCCCCACCAGGCGAUGCUUCUCCGUCCCCUGAGCGCUCCGGUAGGUCGGGCGCCGCCUACGGUGGCCGGAGUCACCGGCGAGCCUCGUCGGGGCGGGCUCCUCCCUCGGCCGAGAGCGGGCAGGCACGCGAGGAAGAAGAAGCUCAGGCCAGGCGGGCCCCACCCCGCACGACCCCACAUGUCGGCCACACAGCGUUGACCCCGCAGGCCCACAGACGUGGAUAAGUGGAGGCAUAUUCUCCUGAAUACGUCUCCCCUACACGAAAGCGCAUUCCUCUUCUUCAUUGGGACAUAAUGCGUUUCCUUCUCUGGAAAACGUAUUUUCUGAAAAGGCGCGUUCGGUUUUUCAGCUGAGGGCCUGUUUGUGAUGAUUUCAUUACAGAUAGGUCCCUGGAAGAAAAACCUUUAUAACUUUUUGAUCCUAACUCCAAAUGAGCCCCCUCCGAGAGAGAAAGAUUUCCGCGAUUCUUUCCACGAGCUUCUCGCACUUCCUCCCGGUGAAUCCCUCCAUCCCAGGCAAGCCACACCCUCCAUUUGCAUGAUUGCAAUGUAGUGACAUGGUUUACUUAUUUAAACUUGCUUAAAAUUUGCAUUAGCUACAUUUGACUUGUUCAUGGCAUUUCUCGGAGUGGCAUUCUGAUCUUGUUAUUGCCAUGAUGUUGCUUGGAGUUCUAGGACUAAUAUUUUUGCAGCUUAUGAGGAUGACUUGUUGCCUUUGGAUUAUAGUGGCUUAUAUUAUGAUUAUUUUCAUGUUGAUAUAUGAUAUUAUGCUUUGGAGUAUUAUAUUGGAUUUGAUGCUAUCAUGUGGAUCUUAGGUUAAUAUUUUGAUUGAAUUAGUAGCAUCUUGGUACUUGGAUUCAUCAUGGUAGUAGUGAUAUGUUGCCCUCGGAGUAGUUUGAUAUGAUGAUAGUAUGCUUUGGAUUAUGUGACGGGUAUUGCUAUGACUUGGAUCACAGGUUGAUAGAUGAUACCGGAGUAUCAGUGUCGCAUAUAUACUUUUGGGAUAAAUUCCAUCAUUAAGUUGGUCAGGUGCCACCGAACCGGGCUUUUCCAAUACAACCACAUUUGCCCUUAUGGGAAGGCCCUAAUGCGGUCUAUUUUCAUGCCUCUCGCCGGUGCCUCCAAUGAGGGAAGGUUGUACGCGGGCGCUACCUUGCCCGGGUAGGAUGGCAUAAGCCUUGUGUGCCCGUUUGUCGGAGUGGCUGGGAGGGUGUGAUGGCAAUAGAUCGGUUUUGUCGGAAUGCCGUUGGUCCAUCCGAAUGGGAGUGCAAGGCCAUGGGUUCCAUAGUGUGGGUAUAGUGUGCUAACCUCCGCAGAGUGUGUGUGUUUUAAUUUAUCGAUAGCCGCGUCCUCGGUCAUGGGCACAGUUCGUACUAGGUCACACCACUCGAUCAACACUCACAUGACGGAAUGGCUUAUAGGUGAUUUAUAUGUUGAUAUAUUGUGGGCAGUAACAGCUUGGCAGGAUGCUGAUGAUGAUGUUGAGAUGAUCCCGAGGAUGAUCAUUCAGUUUGUGAUGUGGUCACGAGGUGAUCAUGUGGAUGUUUUAAUCAUGAUGUGGUCAUGUGGAUCACGAGGUGAUCGAGAUGGUAUAUUGCUUGGCCGGAUAGCCAAGUGUGAGAUGGUUCAGUGAGAUUGAGAUGUUGGUUUAUCAGCAUUGUAGUAGUUUCAUAUCAUGCUUAGUAGUUGCUUUCGUAUCAUAGUAGUUGUUAAUUAAUUAACCUGUUAAAUGCUCUGUUGUUGUUUUGCCUUGAUGCUUAUGGUUGUUGUGAGCUUGCAAGUACAUUCAAUGCACUGACCUGGCGUGUCAUGCCAGAUCGCAGGU
Long non-coding RNA from Aegilops tauschii subsp. strangulata, 3066 nucleotides. RefSeq lists it as uncharacterized. The record is from RefSeq and is a predicted model, not a curated record. Lineage: Eukaryota; Viridiplantae; Streptophyta; Magnoliopsida; Poales; Poaceae.